CAGGCAGCUGGUGCCAUUGCCCUUCAUCUUGCAUCUGCUCUAGCAGGACAAAGCCUGGCUGGUCAGAUUCAGCAAAACAGAAGGGGAUUCUCCAGUAUCUUCUUCGCCUGACCAACUUCAGGCAGAAGCAGCAGCAGUUGCAGCUCCAAGAAUAGGAACAGUGGUCGUGAUACAACUGUGACAGCAGAGACAAGCUGAGCUGAAUCCGAGUGCCUGAUCAGUGUUGUGGAAUCCAGCAAACAGUGUGGCUU
Molecule: long non-coding RNA, 251 nt
Organism: Columba livia (rock pigeon)
Lineage: Eukaryota; Metazoa; Chordata; Aves; Columbiformes; Columbidae
Exons: 3
Source: RefSeq, a predicted model, not a curated record